This 440-nucleotide ribosomal RNA is filed under the name uncultured bacterium. Its description in RNAcentral is "partial 16S ribosomal RNA". It matches the Rfam family "Bacterial small subunit ribosomal RNA", at positions 338 to 795 of the family's 1533-position model. The record is from RNAcentral.
GCUACGGGAGGCAGCAGUGGGGAAUAUUGCACAAUGGGGGAAACCCUGAUGCAGCCACGCCGCGUGAGUGAUGAAGGAUUUCGGUAUGUAAAUCUCUAUCAGCAGGGAAGAAAAUGACUGUACCUGAUUAAGUAUCCACGGCUAACUACGUCCCAGCAGCCGCGGUAACACGUAGGGGGCAAGCGUUAUCCGGAUUUACUGGGUGUAAAGGGAGUUUAGUCGGCAGCACAGGUCUGAAGUGAAAUGGCGGGGCUCAACCCCGGAACUGCUUUUGAAACUGUGAGGCUAGAGUGCAGGAGAGGUAAGCGGAAUUCCUGGUGUAGCGGUGAAAUGCGUAGAUAUUAGGAGGAACACCAGUGGCGAAGGCGGCUUACUGGACUGUAACUGACGCUGAGGCUCGAAAGCGUGGGGAGCAAACAGGAUUAGAUACCCUAGUAGUC